AGCUUUGCGUAGUGACAUUAUCAUAGCCAAUGAGGUUUAUUCGAGGCGUGAUUAUUGCUCAUUGAAAACUGUUCCCAAGAAUG
RNAcentral lists this small nuclear RNA (83 nucleotides) under Ochotona princeps (American pika). Its description in RNAcentral is "U4 spliceosomal RNA (ENSOPRG00000019428.1)". It matches the Rfam family "U4 spliceosomal RNA". Rfam says of the family: U4 small nuclear RNA (U4 snRNA) is a component of the major U2-dependent spliceosome. Lineage: Eukaryota; Metazoa; Chordata; Mammalia; Lagomorpha; Ochotonidae. The record is from RNAcentral.